GAUGAACGCUGGCGGCGUGCCUAAUACAUGCAAGUAGAACGCUGAAGGAAGGAGCUUGCUCUUUCCGGAUGAGUUGCGAACGGGUGAGUAACGCGUAGGUAACCUGCCUGGUAGCGGGGGAUAACUAUUGGAAACGAUAGCUAAUACCGCAUAACAGUAGAUGUUGCAUGACAACUAUUUGAAAGGGGCAAUUGCUCCACUACCAGAUGGACCUGCGUUGUAUUAGCUAGUUGGUGAGGUACCGGCUCACCAAGGCGACGAUACAUAGCCGACCUGAGAGGGUGAUCGGCCACACUGGGACUGAGACACGGCCCAGACUCCUACGGGAGGCAGCAGUAGGGAAUCUUCGGCAAUGGACGGAAGUCUGACCGAGCAACGCCGCGUGAGUGAAGAAGGGUGUCGGAUCGUAAAGCUCUGUUGUAAGAGAAGAACGAGUGUGAGAGUGGAAAGUUCACACUGUGACGGUAUCUUACCAGAAAGGGACGGCUAACUACGUG
RNAcentral lists this ribosomal RNA (497 nucleotides) under uncultured bacterium. RNAcentral's name for it is "partial 16S ribosomal RNA". It matches the Rfam family "Bacterial small subunit ribosomal RNA", at positions 28 to 507 of the family's 1533-position model. The record is from RNAcentral.